CCUACGGGUGGCAGCAGUGGGGAAUAUUGCACAAUGGGGGAAACCCUGAUGCAGCGACGCCGCGUGAAGGAAGAAGUAUCUCGGUAUGUAAACUUCUAUCAGCAGGGAAGAAAAUGACGGUAACUGACCAAGAAGCCCCGGCUAACUACGUGCCAGCAGCCGCGGUAAUACGUAGGGGGCCAGCGUUAUCCGGAUUUACUGGGUGUAAAGGGAGCGUAGGCGGUUGAGCAAGUUAGAAGUGAAAGCCCGGGGCUCAACUCCGGGACUGCUUUGGAAACUGUUGAACUAGAUGGCAGGAGAGGGAAGUGGAAUUCCUGGUGUAGCGGUGAAAUGCGUAGAUAUUAGGAGGAACACCAGUGGCGAAGGCGGCUUACUGGACUGUAAAUGACGCUGAGGCUCGAAAGCGUGGGGAGCGAACAGGAUGAGAUACCCGAGUAGUC
This 440-nucleotide ribosomal RNA is filed under the name uncultured bacterium. Its description in RNAcentral is "partial 16S ribosomal RNA". It matches the Rfam family "Bacterial small subunit ribosomal RNA", at positions 338 to 795 of the family's 1533-position model. The record is from RNAcentral.